AUUAAAACCAAUUGUCAAAAUAACAAGCCAUGUCCUAACCUCACUUAAUGAUACAGGUGGUGAUUUAUCCGUCAUUAAUAAAAUAAAAAGAUGGCAGGUCAAUCAAAAAAAGAAACGCUCCAGGGAUAGUGAGGCCCUACAAAAUCUUAAAAUAAAAAGAGGGCAGGUCAAUCAAAAAAAGAAACGCUCCAGGGAUAGUGAGGCCCUACAAAAUCUACUAACAGCAAAAUAAACUUCAGAUGAUGUUCCCACUAUUUCUAGGGAGUUGAAUCUUAUAUGGACUCCUCUUCAGAUGGUGAUUUAUCCGUCAUUAAUGAAAGAAAAAGAUGGCAGGUCAAUCAACAAAAAGAAUAGCUAUAGGGAUUAAUCCCAGCAAAAUAUACUAACAACACAUAAUAAAGAUUCUUUACGCACUUCGGUCAACACCAAUUUUUAAAUAUCCCAUUCCUCUCCAAACUUACGAAAAAGGAAUAAAGGACUAAAAUAGUAAAUAUCAGAUUCAACCGCCUGGGCCCAAGCAACUCUUCCAACCAAAUUUGGUGGUCUCGGCAUCAGAUCUCCACAUGACUUAGCAAUAACUACUUUCAUAUCGAGUAGUCUUUUGACAAAGCCAAUAACCACCGCCCAUAAUUCUAAAGAAGACCUUUCCUUAAUCGUGGCUAUGGAUAUUUGGAAAACAAGGAUCAAUGCUGAUUCUCAUCCCCCCACAACCCAUAGACAGAAAGACUGGGAUGCACCAGUAGCUCACUGCGUUGAAACUCUCUUAUCUAGCAUGCAAUCUACCGACCGCACCCUAUUCUCUUCCCUGCUCAAUGGUACGGGACAUGAGUUUCUUGAGGCCAUCCCAUCUGCCAAUCUUCAGCUUCAACUAUCCAACAAUGAAUUUACCCACGCCAUCGGCAUUCGUCUAAAUUGUUCCAUCACUCACCCUCACAUCUGCUCAGGGUGCAACUCGCCAGUUGACUCGAAGGGUAGACAUAGUUUACAUUGUCGCUCCUGCAAUGGACGAUUCAUCAGACACAAGCAAUGUAAUACAAUCAUCCAACAUGCACUGAAAUCCGCCCAAAUUCCUUCCACUCUAGAACCACGGGGUCUUUUUAGAUCUGACUGUAAACGUCCUGACGGGAUCUCUCAAAUCCUAUGGAAGAGAGGCCAACUUUUGGUAUGGGACUAUUCCUGUAUUGAUCCCUUGGCCCCAUCCAACCACGCCAUCAACAUCCUUGACCAUUAAAACUUCUAAAUACACAAUGAACGAUCAUUGCUUCAUCCCAAUCAUAUCAACCACUCUUGGCACCUUCGGCAAACUCGCCUUAUCAUUUUUCAAAAACUUAGGAUCACAAAUCAGCAAACUCUCAGAAGAACCUCGAGAGGGUUUUUUUCUUCGUCAACGAUUAUCCAUAGCGAUUCUCAAAGCUAAUUAUAUCAGUUUCAAUGGUAGUCUUCUAGCCAAAGAGCUAUCCUAGACAACACUUACGUCCCUUUUUCAUUUUUGUUUCCCUGCGUCACACCAUCUCCGUUCUUUUUUUUAAUAGUAUUAUUAUAUAUU
Long non-coding RNA from Gordionus sp. m RMFG-2023, 1546 nucleotides. RefSeq lists it as uncharacterized. Lineage: Eukaryota; Metazoa; Nematomorpha; Gordioida; Chordodea; Parachordodidae. The record is from RefSeq and is a predicted model, not a curated record. The transcript has 5 exons.